RNAcentral lists this ribosomal RNA (102 nucleotides) under Rhizopus stolonifer. RNAcentral describes it as "partial small subunit ribosomal RNA". The record is from RNAcentral. Lineage: Eukaryota; Fungi; Mucoromycota; Mucoromycetes; Mucorales; Rhizopodaceae.
ACUUUAGUCCUAUUUUCGUUGGUUUAGGUACUUCAGUAAUGAUGAAUAGAAACGGUUAGGGGCAUUUGUAUUUGGUCGCUAGAGGUGAAAUUCUUGGAUUGA